CAACAUUUUCUGCUCUGCGCCUGAGGUAAUCCACAUCCUUAGCCUGCUGGAAACUAUUAAGCACAACCAAGACCAGCUGAUUGCGAAGGUGCUGUGAGUAAAAAUGUGUUGACAAGGUCAGCCACGGACGCUGAGGUCACCAAACACGCCAUCAGGUGGUUCAACUUGGCGGGGGAUCGGGCAACGAGGAGACGAGUCCCGCUUCCACCUCCUCAGGAGGAAUAGAGAUGUAUAUGUAUAAAUAAACAACCUUUUAUUGGACUUCUUGUCAUUCACCAGUUAUUCAUUUUCUGAUAUGUUAGCUGUGCAUGGAGCAGCGUUUCCUUGAAG
Long non-coding RNA from Entelurus aequoreus (snake pipefish), 330 nucleotides. RefSeq lists it as uncharacterized. Lineage: Eukaryota; Metazoa; Chordata; Actinopteri; Syngnathiformes; Syngnathidae. The record is from RefSeq and is a predicted model, not a curated record. The transcript is spliced from 3 exons.